Molecule: ribosomal RNA, 1562 nt
Filed under: Vibrio diabolicus
Lineage: Bacteria; Pseudomonadati; Pseudomonadota; Gammaproteobacteria; Vibrionales; Vibrionaceae
Description: bacterial SSU rRNA
Rfam family: Bacterial small subunit ribosomal RNA
Source: RNAcentral
AAAUUGAAGAGUUUGAUCAUGGCUCAGAUUGAACGCUGGCGGCAGGCCUAACACAUGCAAGUCGAGCGGAAACGAGUUAUCUGAACCUUCGGGGAACGAUAACGGCGUCGAGCGGCGGACGGGUGAGUAAUGCCUAGGAAAUUGCCCUGAUGUGGGGGAUAACCAUUGGAAACGAUGGCUAAUACCGCAUGAUGCCUACGGGCCAAAGAGGGGGACCUUCGGGCCUCUCGCGUCAGGAUAUGCCUAGGUGGGAUUAGCUAGUUGGUGAGGUAAGGGCUUACCAAGGCGACGAUCCCUAGCUGGUCUGAGAGGAUGAUCAGCCACACUGGAACUGAGACACGGUCCAGACUCCUACGGGAGGCAGCAGUGGGGAAUAUUGCACAAUGGGCGCAAGCCUGAUGCAGCCAUGCCGCGUGUGUGAAGAAGGCCUUCGGGUUGUAAAGCACUUUCAGUCGUGAGGAAGGUAGUGUAGUUAAUAGCUGCAUUAUUUGACGUUAGCGACAGAAGAAGCACCGGCUAACUCCGUGCCAGCAGCCGCGGUAAUACGGAGGGUGCGAGCGUUAAUCGGAAUUACUGGGCGUAAAGCGCAUGCAGGUGGUUUGUUAAGUCAGAUGUGAAAGCCCGGGGCUCAACCUCGGAAUAGCAUUUGAAACUGGCAGACUAGAGUACUGUAGAGGGGGGUAGAAUUUCAGGUGUAGCGGUGAAAUGCGUAGAGAUCUGAAGGAAUACCGGUGGCGAAGGCGGCCCCCUGGACAGAUACUGACACUCAGAUGCGAAAGCGUGGGGAGCAAACAGGAUUAGAUACCCUGGUAGUCCACGCCGUAAACGAUGUCUACUUGGAGGUUGUGGCCUUGAGCCGUGGCUUUCGGAGCUAACGCGUUAAGUAGACCGCCUGGGGAGUACGGUCGCAAGAUUAAAACUCAAAUGAAUUGACGGGGGCCCGCACAAGCGGUGGAGCAUGUGGUUUAAUUCGAUGCAACGCGAAGAACCUUACCUACUCUUGACAUCCAGAGAACUUUCCAGAGAUGGAUUGGUGCCUUCGGGAACUCUGAGACAGGUGCUGCAUGGCUGUCGUCAGCUCGUGUUGUGAAAUGUUGGGUUAAGUCCCGCAACGAGCGCAACCCUUAUCCUUGUUUGCCAGCGAGUAAUGUCGGGAACUCCAGGGAGACUGCCGGUGAUAAACCGGAGGAAGGUGGGGACGACGUCAAGUCAUCAUGGCCCUUACGAGUAGGGCUACACACGUGCUACAAUGGCGCAUACAGAGGGCGGCCAACUUGCGAAAGUGAGCGAAUCCCAAAAAGUGCGUCGUAGUCCGGAUUGGAGUCUGCAACUCGACUCCAUGAAGUCGGAAUCGCUAGUAAUCGUGGAUCAGAAUGCCACGGUGAAUACGUUCCCGGGCCUUGUACACACCGCCCGUCACACCAUGGGAGUGGGCUGCAAAAGAAGUAGGUAGUUUAACCUUCGGGGGGACGCUUACCACUUUGUGGUUCAUGACUGGGGUGAAGUCGUAACAAGGUAGCGCUAGGGGAACCUGGCGCUGGAUCACCUCCUUAAACGAUGAU